CAUACAUCGUUCGUCUUAACUUUGUCUAAAAGGAAAACGGUUGGAACAACUCUGAUGAAGGUAGAGAAGAGUCAGUGGCUGGUGAAGUAAGAGGGAUACAGCUGUCUGCUGAUUCAAGGUCCCUGCCCCGUCGCCUCAACAUCCUCAAGAUCCUGUAGGCUACUGCUGCUGCUCCUUGCUUCAGCAACUUUCCCCUGAUGCCUGACACCCCUCAUCACCAAAUCAGCCCAGUCAACAUGGACCCAACAUGGACCCAAGUCUCCACCACAGUGUGCACAAUACACUAUACACAGACAGGGACGAGAACAAAGGUACAAUUGGUCUGAGGGGAGGACACCGCAGACAGCUGAUCAACUCCAUGUCAUCUAAUCAGGCCAUGUAAAGGACCAUGAAGGGAUGGACUUGGUGGAGGACAACAAUGUGACACCCGAAAAGAGUACAUGGAGAUCUCUCAUCCUCAUCCCUCAUGCUUAUAUUGCAUUUCAUAUAGGCCUAGAUUCUGAUGGUCUUGUAAAUGUUUGUUACACAAGUCAGAAAUUGUUGUCUUUGAUUAUUUAAUUUGAUUAUAAUAAAUGGAAAUAUAUUUUAUUGAAAAAUAUUUUUGAAAACCUAGCAAGUUUGUGUGUUUUAGUAUCAGAAUGAGCUUGUAUUGACCAAGUAUAUCUACAAGGAAUUUGACUGGCAUUAGCUGUUGGAACAAUUAGACAUACAGUAGUAUGCAGUCAGAAGAUGCAUACUAUAGAGCACCACAAUAUACAUAAGGCACCUACCAAUAGAUUGAGUGAUGGCAGUGGGAAAAAUGUGAUUAUUGUCUGGCAGGUUUUGUGCAUAAGGGUAAGUUAUUAUUUAACGGAAAAGUUUGAGGUCAAACUAAUGGUGACCUCCAUGUAGCUUUUGUAAUAAUAAUAACUUUAUAUAAUAAUAGCCUAACUUUAUGAUAAUAAUAUAUUUUUUAAAUAACAUGUGUUCAAUUAAAACUAUUUUCUUUUACUGUCCCAGAGUC
Molecule: long non-coding RNA, 1003 nt
Organism: Sardina pilchardus (European sardine)
Lineage: Eukaryota; Metazoa; Chordata; Actinopteri; Clupeiformes; Clupeidae
Exons: 3
Source: RefSeq, a predicted model, not a curated record